This 447-nucleotide ribosomal RNA is filed under the name uncultured bacterium. RNAcentral's name for it is "bacterial SSU rRNA". It matches the Rfam family "Bacterial small subunit ribosomal RNA", at positions 355 to 825 of the family's 1533-position model. The record is from RNAcentral.
UCGAGAAUUUUGGGCAAUGGGCGAAAGCCCGACCCAGCAACGCCGCGUGAAGGAUGAAGUAUUUCGGUAUGUAAACUUCGUAAGAAUAGGAAGAAUAAAUGACGGUACUAUUUGUAAGGUCCGGCUAACUACGUGCCAGCAGCCGCGGUAAUACGUAGGGACCAAGCGUUGUUCGGAUUUACUGGGCGUAAAGGGCGCGUAGGCGGUGUGUCAAGUCAGUUGUGAAAUCCCCGGGCUUAACCUGGGAACUGCACUUGUGACUGCAUAGCUGGAGUACGGCAGAGGGGGAUGGAAUUCCGCGUGUAGCAGUGAAAUGCGUAGAUAUGCGGAGGAACACCGAUGGCGAAGGCAGUCCCCUGGGCCUGUACUGACGCUCAUGCACGAAAGCGUGGGGAGCAAACAGGAUUAGAUACCCAUGUAGUCCCUGAGCGGGCUGGCAAGGCGCAU